This is an RNA transcript of Gossypium raimondii (Peruvian cotton), 2107 nucleotides long. It is a transcript of the gene named B3 domain-containing transcription factor NGA1-like, with no coding region annotated. Lineage: Eukaryota; Viridiplantae; Streptophyta; Magnoliopsida; Malvales; Malvaceae. The transcript has 4 exons. The record is from RefSeq and is a predicted model, not a curated record.
AGUCAGCAAAAGAAAAAGGAAGAAAAAAAAAGCUUAGGUCAACCACGAGCACACUACUCUUUGCUGUUGAUUCUCCCACGGCUUUAAUUUGUCUCGCUAGGGUUCUUUUUUUCUUUCAGUGUGGGUGUGUUUUGUUUCUGGGUCAAAGAUGAAGGCACCGACCCUCGGUUGGUUUUUGUACUGAGAGGACCUGUCUUUUGCUUCCUUCGGUCUUCAAGGAUUUAGAAGAAAGAAAAUCAUACCUUCCAAGAAAUCAGUAUUUGUAAGCCCGGUCUUGUUUUAGUUUUAUUUCCUUUAGACCCACCUUUUGGCUUUCUAAUUUUCUUUUCUUUUUCCUUUCCUUUCCUGCCCAACCACCAUUUUGCAAUCAAACUUAUGGUUCAUAUCAUCUGGUUCUAGUGUGAUUAAAAGAAGAAGAAGAAAAAAAAAAGGUAAAUUUUGGUGGUGGAUGUGGGUCAUCAUUAUGAACUUGGGUAUUCUAAUAAUUAAGGAGAGGAAGUGAUAAGAGAAAUUCCCAGCAAGUUGCCAGUUUCAUCCUCUUCUUCUGCUAUCAAUUUGUGACAAGGAACUUGAGAUGAUGGACUUGUCACUUGGGAGCUGCAAUAACAUUGAAGAAUCAAAUACUGGAAGUAGUAGGUGUAUUGAGAAAGAAUAUAUGUUUGAUAAAGUUGUAACACCAAGUGAUGUAGGCAAGCUGAACCGCCUGGUAAUACCGAAGCAACAUGCGGAGAAGUACUUCCCUCUCGACUCUUCAUCGAAUGAGAAAGGGUUGUUGUUGAAUUUUGAAGAUCGGAACGGCAAGUCUUGGCGGUUCCGGUACUCAUACUGGAAUAGCAGCCAGAGUUAUGUGAUGACCAAAGGGUGGAGCCGUUUCGUCAAGGAGAAGAAGCUUGAUGCGGGUGACAUCGUGUCGUUUCAACGGGGUGUUGGGGAGUCCGGGAAACACCGGUUGUACAUUGAUUGGAGGCGGAGGCCGAAUGCACCCAAUCCAACGUCCUUUGCACAUUUUCAGAUGCAAAAUCAGUUCAACUUUCCUCAGUCAGUCCGAUGGGGGGGUGGAAUCUACUCGCUGCCUCAAAGCUAUGAGCCUUUGCAUCGCUUGAAUUACAGCAUAUAUCCUUAUAACCAUCAUCAUCAACGACAGCAGCAUCAACAGCUACAGCAGCAGCAGCAUCAGGCAAUUACUUACGGUAAUGUGGCGCAGUCGCAGUACUAUCUGAGGUCAUCAUCAUCUGGGUCAUACCAUCAUCAUCAUCACCACCAACCUCAUCAAACUGGGGCAAUGCAAGAAGGAAGAGUGGAGCCAAUGGUGAUCGAGUCAGUACCAGUUGUUCAGGGUAAUAAAACGGCGGCUAAAAGACUAAGGUUGUUUGGGGUGAACAUGGAGUGUCCUACUCCUACAACAGAUGAAUCUUCCUCGAGUUCUCCUCAUGCCACAAUAGUUUCUGAUCAUGAUUCUCCUUAUUUCCCUUCCUCUUCUCUCCAAUCAAGAUUGCCCAAUAAUAACACCCCAUUCCCACUCUCCAGAAUGCAAGCUGAAUAUUCAAAGAAGGGAAAAUCUUCCUUGUCCUUUGAUUUGGAUCUAUGAUCGAUGAUGAGCAAAUCACAGUGCAGGCAUUGCAGGUAAUGCACAGAAAAGUUGCAGCACUGGAAAAGCCAUGAUCAGAUGAUCUUGUCUGGACUGCUACACACAAAAAAGUUCUCUUGUGUUAAAAGAGGGUUCAGAUUCCCCCAACUGAUGGGUCUAUUGAGACUGGACUUCAUCCAAUACUUGAGGCGUGAAGGUAAAAUUAAUGCCCAAAUGUGCUUUUGGUGCUGUGUAUGUAUGGGAAGAGGAUGGUAGCUAGUCCGAAAAAUUGCAUGGAUGGGUUACGUUGUUUAUCUGCCAUAUCUAAGUUUGAUAAUAAUGGUGGGGAUAUAUGCGAAAUAUGAUAAGCUUUUCCCCUUAACUAACAGCUUCGUUUUGCUGUCAUUAAUUAACAGUAUUUUUUAAAAGAUAAAGUUUUUUUUUAUACAUUUUAAUUGGUUAAAAUCAACAUUAAAAGUAACUAUUGAAUUCUUAGAAGGAUUUUCUGAAUAAAGUGCCCUUCGUACAUUUUUAAGGAAA